Molecule: long non-coding RNA, 255 nt
Filed under: Selaginella moellendorffii
Lineage: Eukaryota; Viridiplantae; Streptophyta; Lycopodiopsida; Selaginellales; Selaginellaceae
Description: long non-coding RNA (SMOE_LNC002091)
Source: RNAcentral
GAGUCUAUGAUCGAUCGCACAAAAACAAACCUUGGAUUGGUUCGAGUGGAGCACCUCGUCCACGAUGUCGAGCAGCUCACGCACCUUGUCCUGCUCGAUCUGUGGCGACUCCCAAGUUAAAGGAUUCUCAACGUCGUGAAGCUCCCAGGGGCAGUGGUUCGUCGUCGAUGGCUCGUCCUUGUACAGCACACUGAUGCUGUCCCAGGGGCUGUUUGGAAACUCGGGCGACUUUGCCUUCACCUGAGUUAUCGUCCC